UAGAAACUCUAGUUUGCUGCAGGGCCUUUAUAAGACCCAUAGUACAAUUUUUGUAGACCUUUGCUGGAGUAAAGGUA
This 77-nucleotide small nuclear RNA is filed under the name Haemonchus placei. RNAcentral's name for it is "SmY spliceosomal RNA". It matches the Rfam family "SmY spliceosomal RNA". The record is from Rfam by way of RNAcentral. Lineage: Eukaryota; Metazoa; Nematoda; Chromadorea; Rhabditida; Trichostrongylidae.